UACGUAGGGUGCGAGCGUUGUCCGGAAUUAUUGGGCGUAAAGAGCUUGUAGGCGGUUUGUCGCGUCUGCUGUGAAAAUCCGGGGCUCAACCCCGGACUUGCAGUGGGUACGGGCAGACUAGAGUGUGGUAGGGGAGACUGGAAUUCCUGGUGUAACGGUGGAAUGCGCAGAUAUCAGGAGGAACACCGAUGGCGAAGGCAGGUCUCUGGGCCACUACUGACGCUGAGAAGCGAAAGCAUGGGGAGCGAACAGG
RNAcentral lists this ribosomal RNA (253 nucleotides) under uncultured bacterium. Its description in RNAcentral is "partial 16S ribosomal RNA". It matches the Rfam family "Bacterial small subunit ribosomal RNA", at positions 524 to 776 of the family's 1533-position model. The record is from RNAcentral.